UACGGAGGGUGCAAACGUUGCUCGGAAUUACUGGGCGUAAAGCGUGUGUAGGCGGCCUUGCCAGUCGGAUGUGAAAGCCCCGGGCUCAACCCGGGAAGUGCACUCGAUACUGCAGGGCUUGAGUAUCGGAGAGGUUGGUGGAAUUCUCGGUGUAGAGGUGAAAUUCGUAGAUAUCGAGAGGAACACCGGCGGCGAAGGCGGCCAACUGGACGAUUACUGACGCUGAGACACGAAAGCGUGGGGAGCAAACAGG
RNAcentral lists this ribosomal RNA (253 nucleotides) under uncultured bacterium. RNAcentral's name for it is "partial 16S ribosomal RNA". It matches the Rfam family "Bacterial small subunit ribosomal RNA", at positions 524 to 776 of the family's 1533-position model. The record is from RNAcentral.